CAGAGACCCUACUCCCAGGGAUGGUAUUACCCCAGAGACCACCCCUUUGCCAGAAACCCCAUUUUCAGAGACCCCCUGUCCCCAGAGACCCCAUUCCCAGAGACCCUCCCAUCCUCACACCCCCGUUCCCAGAGAUCCUCAGCCCCAGAGACCCCUCAUUCCCAGACCCCUCAUUCCCAGACCCCUCAUUCCCAGAGACCCCCCCCAUUCCCAGAACCCCCAUUCCCGGAUACCCCAUUCCCAGAGACUCCACUCCCCCCUCCCCAAAUCCAGGGCAUUUUUUCCUGCUUUCCCAGAAGCCACCAAGCCGUGUCCCCCACCGGUGCCACCCAGGCCACCACCCCGUGUCCCUGGGCCACCUCCAGGGACUGUCCCCCAUGGAUGGAUCCCUGUUCCAGCCCCAGUUUUCCCAGCUGGGAUCGAGCCCCACAGCUGAGAUGGAGAUCUCCAGAUGGAGAUUUGGGGGUCCCGUGGGAUUUACGGGGUUGCUCACGCUGAUCCCGAGGAUGAGGAAUUAUCCACGAGCCAAAAAUAUCCCAGGAUAAACCCCACCUUUCCCAGCUCAUCCCGGCUCUUCCGGGCGGCUUUGAUGUUCCCGGGACAGGGGGAGCAGAGGAAACCCCACCCGGGCUGUGGGGUCCGGGGCGGAGGUGGCAUCACGGGUGGGCACGAGGUGAUCCCGUGGGAUCCGGGGGGAUCCUCUGGGAUCCCAGCAGGGCAGCGGGAAAGCGGGAUCAGCCCAUCCAUGCUGGAGCUGGCUCCUUUUGGGGUCCCGCCUGGAGGGGAGCGGUCACCAGCGCUCCCAGCACGGCCCCCACAGCGGGAAUGGGGCGGAUCCCGGGGAAUGGGGCGGAUCCCGGGGAAUGGGGCGGAUCCCAUGGAAAUGAGGAGGAUCCCAUGGAAUUGGGGUGGAUCCCAUGGAAACGCGGGAGAUCCUGACCUCUCCGCCGACCCCUGGCUCUGCCCCCCUCCCAGCCCGGGAGCAGCUCCGGCGAUCCCGGCACAGCCGCACCUUCCUGGUGGAGUCGGGAGUGGGCGAGCUCUGGUCGGAGAUGCAGGCAGGUGACAGGUACAUCGUGGCCGACUGUGGCGGGGGAACGGUGGAUUUGACCGUGCACCAGAUCGAGAAGCCGCAGGGGACGCUGAAGGAGCUCUACAAAGCCUCGGGUGGGAUGGGGGUCCCUUUCCAUCCUUUUUUCCCUCGCCCUGGGGUCCUCCCGGGACACCAAACCCGGGCUGAGAUCUCAAAUCCGGGCUGGGACCCCAAAUCCGGGCUGGGACCCUAAACCUGAACUCAGACCCCAAACCUGAACUCAGACACCAAACCCGGGCUGAGACACCAAACCCGGGCUGAGAUCCUAAACCUGAGCUGGGACCCCAAACCCUAACUCAGACCUCAAAUCUGAAAUCAGACCCCAAAUCCGGGCUGGGACCCCAAACCCGAGCUGGGACCCUAAACCCGAACUCAGACCCCAAACCUGAACUCAGACACCAAACCCGGGCUGAGAUCCUAAACCCGAGCUGGGACCCCAAACCCGAACUCAGACCUCAAAUCUGAAAUCAGACCCCAAACCUGAACUCAGACCCCAAACACGGGCUGGGACCUCAAACCCAGACUGGGACCCCAAAUCCGAGCUGGGACCCCAAAACCGCCCCACGAAAGGGUCGUGGGUGGGGCUCUGGCCCCACCUGGUGGCGGCGGGGGGAAGUGCAGGGGGACAGGGGGACCGAGAGGGGACAGAGGGAAGGGGGGGAUGGAUUGGGGG
RNAcentral lists this long non-coding RNA (1766 nucleotides) under Cyanistes caeruleus (blue tit). RNAcentral describes it as "lncRNA (ENSCCEG00000019848.1)". The record is from RNAcentral. Lineage: Eukaryota; Metazoa; Chordata; Aves; Passeriformes; Paridae.